This 405-nucleotide ribosomal RNA is filed under the name uncultured bacterium. RNAcentral's name for it is "partial 16S ribosomal RNA". It matches the Rfam family "Bacterial small subunit ribosomal RNA", at positions 30 to 526 of the family's 1533-position model. The record is from RNAcentral.
AUUGAACGCUGGCGGCAGGCUUAACACAUGCAAGUCGAACGAGUGGCGGACGGGUGAGUAAUGCUUGGGAAUCUAGCUUAUGGAGGGGGAUAACUACGGGAAACUGUAGCUAAUACCGCGUACCAUAGGAUGAGGCCAAGUGGGAUUAGGUAGUUGGUGAGGUAAAGGCUCACCAAGCCGAAGAUCUCUAGCUGGUCCGAGAGGAGGACACCCCCCACGGGGACUGAGACACGGCCCAGACGCCACCAUAACUACUACUUUAUCAAUAUUGCGCAAUGAGGGCAACCUGACUCAGCCAUGCCGCGUGAAUGAAGAACUCCUUCGGGUUUUAAAGUUCUUUCGGUAGCAAGGCGUUAACUACAGAAGAAGCACCGGCUAACUCCGUGCCAGCAGCCGCGGUAAUAC